Molecule: long non-coding RNA, 1565 nt
Filed under: Ananas comosus (pineapple)
Lineage: Eukaryota; Viridiplantae; Streptophyta; Magnoliopsida; Poales; Bromeliaceae
Description: long non-coding RNA (ACOM_LNC009730)
Source: RNAcentral
UACUCUCCAUAGUUUUUGGGUAUAGAAAAUUCUUGCACAUCUUGAUAUAUGGUGAUGAUUCAACAGUUGCCUCGAGGGCUGAUGGUUCUGAUACAUCGUGUUGACAGUAAAUCCCACUUCUUUUGAUAGUAGGUUCUAUGCAUCGAACUUGUUCAUUCUUUAAAGUGCCCAUCAGAUAACUAUCACGUGUCGAUUAACGGCGACUGAGUUUUAUCAUAUUGAAAACUAUGUAAAAUGUCCACUAGUCGAAUGCAUCGAACAUGUUUGUUCCAACAAAUUCAUUAUAGAUCAAAAAGAGAAUUUCUUUUUGUACAAUGUUAUACUUAACAUGAGAUUUGCUUUUCACCUUUAAUUAAACCCAGCAUUAGGUUAACUACUAAUUGAGCUUCCUUGUGGCCUCACCAUUGGAGGCUAAACCCAAAAUGAGCUUUAAAAUAUGAAAGCAAACAUAAGUUCCCACACCAAAAAGGAUAACUAGCUCACUAGGAACUAGAGAUUGAGUUAUGUGUAUAUAUAAAGAGAGCAGGGCCGUUGUGCUCUUAGGAGCAGGGAGACAUCCGUACUCUUAAGCCGUUUUUUAUGACGGAAUUCUCAAAUCGACAAUCGGUUUCGUUAGACUUGAUCUAACGUAUUUAGAUUAUCUAGAAAAUAAAUUUUGAGGUUUUUCAAUAUCGUUUAUCUAGCAAUCAAAAGGGUUCAAAAUCAAUAAUUUUUAAUGGUGGAUGUUUGCCGUUUUCAAGUUUAACGGUGUAGAAUUAUCCAAAUCAGAUAAAAUUUUGAUAGAAAAAUUUUUAUACUAUCUACAGCAAGAUCACUAUCUUUGAUCGAAAAUUUUAGUGCUAUAUCAUAACUUUUUGUGAGAUUUUUAUUCGUAGCCGUUGAUUUUGAUCCAUUUUGAUCACUAGUUAAAUAAUAUCGAAAAAUUACAAAAUAAUAUGCUAGAUCAAAUUUAACAAAAUCGAUCGUCGAUUCAAAAUUUUCAUCAUCAAAAACGACUUAUAAGCAGCGCAGCAGCCCUGCUCUCUCUCUUUCUAUCUAUACUAUAUAUAAAAACACGUAUUUCAAAUUUCGGUCUGUCGACAGACCCAUUUUUUGGCGGGAAAAAAAAAAUUCCUCUUUCCUUACGUAAAAUAAAUAAUAGAAUUAAAAAAACUUUUAUUUUCUCUUUAUUUCUACAACAGAAAAAAAUUUAUACUUAUCCAAAUUUUUACCAAUUUGAGAAUAUCUACUGUGAAUUUUUAUUUAAUUCGUUUUUAUCUCUAACUAUAAUAUAAUAUCUAUACUAUCUAUGAGGCAUUUCAAAUUUCUAUACGUCAGAAGACCCAUUUUUAGGCGGAAAAAAAAUUUGAUUUCUCUUUCUUUAUGUAAAAUAAAUAACAUAAUAAAACAAACUUUUAAUUUAUCUUUACCUCUAAAAUAAAAAAAUAUAUAUUUAUCCAAAUUUUUGCCAGAAUAUCAAUAUGCUCUAUCCAUCUAUUUUACAUUAAAAUUUAAAUUUGAGUUUAAAUCAUAAAUUAAAUUUAAUUUUUGAUUUUGGAUAUCAAAUAUAUCAAUCUAUUUUAUAU